CGCAUCUGUGCAUGCAGCAUAUCAAUAAGCGGAGGAAAAGAAACUAACAAGGAUUCCCUCAGUAACGGCGAGUGAAGCGGGAAGAGCUCAAAUUUGAAAUCUUGAAAGGUCACCUUUCACGAAUUGUAGUUUAAAGAAGUGUUUUCUGUUACGAUCGUAAUAUAAGUUCUUUGGAAUAGGACAUCACAGAGGGUGAGAAUCCCGUCUAUGAUUGCGAUUUGUAGCUUUGUGAUACACUUUCAAAGAGUCGGGUUGUUUGGGAAUGCAGCCCAAAACGGGAGGUAAAUUUCUUCUAAGGCUAAAUAUUGGCGAGAGACCGAUAGCGAACAAGUACCGAUGAGGGAAAGAUGAAAAGAACUUUGAAAGAGAGUUAAAUAGUACGUGAAAUUGUCAAAAGGGAAGCGUUUAACACCAGUGUUGUUUUCUGAAAAUCAACCUCUGUUAGCUUUAUGCAUGUUUGUUUAGACCUAAUCAGCUAUCUUGCAUGUUCUAUUGUUUGCAGUGGUGCACUUUUCAGUUUACAGGUCAACAUCAGUUUUUUUUACCGUAAAAAAGUUAAAGAAAGGUAGCUCAUGGCUCCGGUCGUGAGUGUUAUAGUCUUUUUCCUAUGCGGUAGGAGAGACUGAGGUCUGCAGUGUAGGCUAUUUGGCUAGAUACUCAGGUGCUAUGUGAUACCAUUUCAUAAACAACUUGUUGAUUAUGUUUUGUCUAUUGCAUACUCGCUUGUACUAUCAUACCUACGCUUAGGAUGUUGACGAUCAGCUGAGCGCG
Molecule: ribosomal RNA, 771 nt
Filed under: uncultured Neocallimastigales
Lineage: Eukaryota; Fungi; Neocallimastigomycota; Neocallimastigomycetes; Neocallimastigales
Description: partial large subunit ribosomal RNA
Rfam family: Eukaryotic large subunit ribosomal RNA
Source: RNAcentral